Molecule: ribosomal RNA, 556 nt
Filed under: uncultured Aspergillus
Lineage: Eukaryota; Fungi; Ascomycota; Eurotiomycetes; Eurotiales; Aspergillaceae
Description: SSU rRNA
Rfam family: Eukaryotic small subunit ribosomal RNA
Source: RNAcentral
GGAAGGGGUGUAUUUAUUAGAUAAAAAACCAAUGCCCUUCGGGGCUCCUUGGUGAAUCAUAAUAACUUAACGAAUCGCAUGGCCUUGCGCCGGCGAUGGUUCAUUCAAAUUUCUGCCCUAUCAACUUUCGAUGGUAGGAUAGUGGCCUACCAUGGUGGCAACGGGUAACGGGGAAUUAGGGUUCGAUUCCGGAGAGGGAGCCUGAGGAACGGCUACCACAUCCAAGGAAGGCAGCAGGCGCGCAAAUUACCCAAUCCCGACACGGGGAGGUAGUGACAAUAAAUACUGAUACGGGGCUCUUUUGGGUCUCGUAAUUGGAAUGAGUACAAUCUAAAUCCCUUAACGAGGAACAAUUGGAGGGCAAGUCUGGUGCCAGCAGCCGCGGUAAUUCCAGCUCCAAUAGCGUAUAUUAAAGUUGUUGCAGUUAAAAAGCUCGUAGUUGAACCUUGGGUCUGGCUGACCGGUCCGCCUCACCGCGAGUACUGGUCCGGCUGGACCUUUCCUUCUGGGGAAUCUCAUGGCCUUCACUGGCUGUGGGGGGAACCAGGACUUUUAC